AUUGAACGCUGGCGGCAGGCUUAACACAUGCAAGUCGAGCGGGGGAAGGUAGCUAGCUACUGGACCUAGCGGCGGACGGGUGAGUAAUGCUUAGGAAUCUGCCUAUUAGUGGGGGACAACAUCUCGAAAGGGAUGCUAAUACCGCAUACGUCCUACGGGAGAAAGCAGGGGAUCUUCGGACCUUGCGCUAAUAGAUGAGCCUAAGUCGGAUUAGCUAGUUGGUGGGGUAAAGGCCUACCAAGGCGACGAUCUGUAGCGGGUCUGAGAGGAUGAGCCGCCACACUGGGACGGAGACACGGCCCAGACUCCUACGGGAGGCAGCAGUGGGGAAUAUUGGACAAUGGGGGGAACCCUGAUCCAGCCAUGCCGCGUGUGUGAAGAAGGCCUUAUGGUUGUAAAGCACUUUAAGCGAGGAGGAGGCUACUUUAGUUAAUACCUAGAGAUAGUGGACGUUACUCGCAGAAUAAGCACCGGCUAACUCUGUGCCAGCAGCCGCCGUAA
This 501-nucleotide ribosomal RNA is filed under the name uncultured bacterium. RNAcentral's name for it is "partial 16S ribosomal RNA". It matches the Rfam family "Bacterial small subunit ribosomal RNA", at positions 30 to 523 of the family's 1533-position model. The record is from RNAcentral.